UUCGAGCGUCAUUACAACCCUCACGCCUGGCGUGGUAUUGGGCUCGCCCUUCAGGGCCUGCCUCAAAGUCAGUGGCGGCACCGUUCGACCCCUAAGCGUAGUAAUACUCGUCGCUUCUGGAAGUCGGGUGGAGGCCUGCCAGCAACCCCCAUUUUUACAAGGUUGACCUCGGAUCAGGUAGGGAUACCCGCUGAACUUAA
RNAcentral lists this unclassified non-coding RNA (200 nucleotides) under soil metagenome. Its description in RNAcentral is "partial contains internal transcribed spacer 2 and large subunit ribosomal RNA". The record is from RNAcentral.